ACUCCUACGGGAGGCAGCAGUGGGGAAUCUUCCACAAUGGGCGAAAGCCUGAUGCAGCAACGCCGCGUGAACGAUGAAGAUCUUCAGAUCAUAAAAUUCUGUCGCAGGGGAAGAUAAUGACGGUACCCUGUGAGGAAGCACCGGCUAACUACGUGCCAGCAGCCGCGGUAAU
RNAcentral lists this ribosomal RNA (172 nucleotides) under uncultured bacterium. RNAcentral's name for it is "partial 16S ribosomal RNA". It matches the Rfam family "Bacterial small subunit ribosomal RNA", at positions 335 to 524 of the family's 1533-position model. The record is from RNAcentral.